Non-coding RNA from Malus domestica (apple), 162 nucleotides. Lineage: Eukaryota; Viridiplantae; Streptophyta; Magnoliopsida; Rosales; Rosaceae. The record is from RefSeq and is a predicted model, not a curated record.
GUUGUCGGAUGUAUGUGCAGAUUACUCGAAUAGAUGAAGCUAAGAAUGACUUAGUAUUGAGUGAGAAAGAAGCUUGGGAACUGUUAUACCUUAAGGAGGGAACACUUUUAGAAGGAACUGUCAAGAAAAUCUUUCCAUAUGGAGCCCAAGUGAGGAUAGGAG